UAGAGUUUGAUCCUGGCUCAGAACGAACGCUGGCGGCGUGGAUAAGACAUGCAAGCCGGACGCUAAUCGUCGGGUAGCAAUAUUCGGCGGUUGGAGUGGCGUAAGGGUGCGUAACACGUGGGUAAUCUGCCGUGAAGUUGGGGAUAACUCGCUGAAAGGCGAGCUAAUACCGAAUGUGGAUCUUGGGAGGCAUCUUUCGAGAUCUGAAGUUGGGGACCGUAAGGCCUGACGCUUCACGAUGAGCCCGCGGCCUAUCAGCUAGUUGGUGAGGUAACAGCUCACCAAGGCUAAGACGGGUAGCUGGUCUGAGAGGACGACCAGCCACACUGGAACUGAGACACGGCCCAGACACCUACGGGUGGCAGCAGUCGAGAAUUUUUGACAAUGGGGGAAACCCUGAUCGAGCGACGCCGCGUGGAGGAUGAAGGUC
Molecule: ribosomal RNA, 430 nt
Filed under: uncultured Planctomycetota bacterium
Lineage: Bacteria; Pseudomonadati; Planctomycetota
Description: bacterial SSU rRNA
Rfam family: Bacterial small subunit ribosomal RNA
Source: RNAcentral